CGAUGCAUUUCAGAAGAACGUUGUUAUUACAAUGUCUUCUUGCAAAUGACUAAAAUAUUUGAAGUGCCGUUGCUUCCAAACGCCCAAUAGGUGCUUCCGAGGCACAACUAACGGAACAGGUUCCACCGAGACUUGAACUCGGAUCGCAGGAUUCAGAGUCCUGAGUGCUAACCAUUACACCAUGGAACCUACAGAGGCUCUUUCGAGGUUCGCUUCGCGGAAACAUCAAUGAUUCCGCCCGGGCUCGAACCGGGGACCUUGCGCGUGUUAAGCUCACGUGAUAACCACUACACUACGGAAUCUGGCAACUAGCCAGCGACAUGUUUUUGCCUUUUUCUCUAGCUACUUUUGUCUUGUAUUGCUUUCCUUCGUCAUAGGUUUCAAAAUUCAUUGGAUUCCGUAGUGUAGCGGUUAUCACGUGCGCUUCACACGCGCAAGGUCCCCGGUU
Long non-coding RNA from Hydractinia symbiolongicarpus, 448 nucleotides. RefSeq lists it as uncharacterized. NCBI's taxonomy places the organism in Eukaryota, Metazoa, Cnidaria, Hydrozoa, Anthoathecata, Hydractiniidae. The record is from RefSeq and is a predicted model, not a curated record. The transcript is spliced from 3 exons.